Drosophila albomicans is the source of this 1401-nucleotide long non-coding RNA. RefSeq lists it as uncharacterized. The transcript is spliced from 7 exons. The record is from RefSeq and is a predicted model, not a curated record. NCBI's taxonomy places the organism in Eukaryota, Metazoa, Arthropoda, Insecta, Diptera, Drosophilidae.
UAUACACUGUAAAUAUGCGGCUGCGUCACAAUUUGAGCGGAAGUCCCAGUGACAAGAUUGAACAAUAGCAGCUGCUGCAAGAUUCGCAAAUCUAUUAGCAUAAAACAGAUAAAAGUAAACUUUUGUUGACGAUGUUGUCAACAAGCAGCAGAAGCAGCAGAAACAGCAGCAACGACAACAAACAACAACAAUCAGCAAACAAAUGACAAUAACGACUGCAAAUUGCACGGCUUUUGCUUUUGGGAAUGCCACAAGGAGGAGGAAAAUACAAAAAUGUUGUGUGUGGUUUAACAAAGUUGGGCUUAUCAUGCGUAUAAAUUGAAUUGCUACUGCAGAGAUGAGAAAGCGAGAAUGUCUGCUUCAUUAUUUGCACUUUGCGUAAUUACAUUUUGAAUAACCCGACUUUAAAAAGGGAAACAAAAAAGACAACUACAACGAAAUACCAUUUGUUUUCGGUUUAGCUUGCAUUCAGCGACAAAACGCCCAUUCAGCAACUCGACACUGACUGAUAAAUGGAGUAUUCGAGUUUUUAAAGACGAUGAAAUUGCUGUGGACAGCGGCAAAAUUUCUUCUCAAAGAUCAAUAAGUGCAUUAAAACCUUAUUACGCUUGCACUUUUUCAAGAUACAAAAUGAAUGCAAUUAUCAGUCAGGAUUAUCAGCAGAAUAAUGACUUCGAGUUGCCAACUUUAAAUUGCGUAUACGCACAGUGUGGCACCCAUGGAAACGUCUUGUCUAACAGUCGACAGAGCUGACCACACUUGCUGCAUUGUUCUGCGAAAAUCAAGACGUUGCAAUUGUUUGUUCCCGGAAGUUAGUUAGAACUUCGUGCAACAGUAGAUGAGAACCACACGUGACUUGGCCAAAACUUUGGCGAAUAUCUUACAAGACUAACUUGCAGCUGGCAACUGACAAGCUGCCCACGAGAAAGUUUCAAGCAGCAUACUUUAGUUCAUUUUGAAGAAAGAGAUUUUUCUCAUAUGUUAUCAAAAAAUGAAGGAAACUAACAAAAAUCAGGUCAUGAAAAGGAAAGUGUGCAAAAGAGAAAACAAAUGAAAGAUUGCUAUAACCUAAAUGCCAUACUUAAUCCAAGGACAAGCACAACAGUUUAAUGAUAUACAAACAAACCACCAAACGCACACAAUUUGAGAUACUGCAGAUAGCGACAUACUUAAUUGUGUUACCAGUAAAGUCUGCAGGAAGUCAAGCUCUUGUGUUGAGCCUUCCUUCAGCCGAGAAUGCCAUCGCAGACCAAUCCAAUUAAAUUAGCGUUAAUCUCAGGAUUUGUAAGCAUUAAAUUAAUUAUCUUUCAACUUGACUCUGGUGGUUUUUUGACAACUAUUGGUUCAAUCCCAUUCAGUUUAAGAUUGUGUUAAUCAUAAAAUAUUUAUUAAAGUAAAUUG